Molecule: transfer RNA, 60 nt
Filed under: Lithoredo abatanica
Lineage: Eukaryota; Metazoa; Mollusca; Bivalvia; Myida; Teredinidae
Description: tRNA-Glu
Source: RNAcentral
UUUUUUAUGGUGUAUACAGCACGCUGGUUUUUCACACCAGAAGAAGGUUAUUAUCUUGAU